RNAcentral lists this long non-coding RNA (3697 nucleotides) under Marmota monax (woodchuck). Lineage: Eukaryota; Metazoa; Chordata; Mammalia; Rodentia; Sciuridae. The record is from RNAcentral.
UGCAGAAUCAUUUCAGCUUCUCACCCCAACUGUGUAGGAUCUAAGAUGAGCACACAGCACCUAUUAUAAUUUAACUACAGAGACUUCUAAAAGCAGGUCGGGAUCAAAAGAGUAACUCUUCCAUCACUCCCUGAGGUGCUAAAGGCGGGUUGCCAGACACUCAAAGUAGAAAAGCAAAAUAAAUAGCAUUCAUCUUGUUUCAGAAGGAAAUAAGGCUGGGUGGAUGAGGCUGUCGGUAGAUUUAAUUUCUCUAGGGCUUUUCUCUUUCUAUGGCUUAAAAGAACUUUAGAAGGAAAUUACCAGGCUUGGGGUCAAGAUGAGGGGAAGAGUUGAUCCUUGAAAGCAGUUAUUUCAAGGAGAAAGAGAAGGAAGAGAGGAAAUGCCAAGCGGCAGCUCGAUGGGGCAGAGAGGAGCUUCUGUGGUCCUGCCAGGUGAGUGGCCAUUCCUUUGGAAAUCUCUUGUUGCCUCACUUCAUCUGGAUCAUUCAAACAAAUAUUUACUGAGAAUCAGACACUGAGCUGUAUUUUUACCUAAUAAUUAUUAUUUACUGAUCUCUAGGAACAGAUAAUAGACUCUUUUUGUGGCACUGGGGAUUGAACCCAGGGCCUUGUACAUGCGAGGCAAGCAUUUUAUCAACGGAGCUAUAUCCCCAGCCUUUAGACUGUUGAUUAGUAAUUGUUGAACAAUAAAUUUAAAACAAUUAAGUAUAAAAGUAGCAGAAGUUCAAUAUCGCUGAUGUUUUACCUUAAUUAUCUGAGUUUAGUUAGUAAACUAACUUCCCCUUCUCUCAUCUCCAUCCAGAAUCUUCCUUAAGUAAGAUGCAAAGAGCAGGAAAUAAAAUGCCCCAAACAGCCCCAAGGGGCAAGAAUGAAGUGAUUGCAGGGUAAUCUACUGCUACAUCCAUAUUUAUCCUCACAUUGCUAAAGAACUGCUCUGGGCUUCCCUGCUAAAGAGUAUAAAAAUGAUAGCCAGACACUUCUUCCUGCCCCACCGUGGCUCCCCUGGCUCAUCUGGAGUCCUGCUUCUUCCCUUGUCUCCUACAAUGCAAUCUCACCUCAUCAACCAGAAUGGCGCUUUUAAAAUGUGAGCUAAAUGUGUAGUGGACUCAAUUGACUAGCUUCCGAAGAAUAAGAGCAUGGAAAGGGGGAAAUAUUUACUCUAAGCUAGGUGCGCUCGUGUGAUUCCAGUUAGCUGGGAGACUGAGGCAGGAGGAUCACAAGUUUGAGGUCAGCUGGGGAGACUUAGUGAGACUUUAUCUCAAAAAAAAAAAAAAAAAAAAAAAAAGAACUGGGUACAUGGAUCCAUUGUAGAGGGUUCCUUGGCCUAAACUCCAGUGCUGAAUUUGGGAGGGCGGGUGACCUUUACAGUAGAGAAAACCAACAGACCCCAUUAUAAUCACAUGAUUCAAGUUAACAUCACUUUGAAAGGUGGAUGUCAUGUGGUCCUCUUGUGAUGUGAUGAGAAGGGCACUUCACUUCUGGGGAUUCUAACCAGAAAUCCACAUAGGGAAAAUAUCAAACAAAUCUAAGCUGAGGAACGCUGUGAAAAAUACCCGAUCAAUACUCCUCAACACUGUCAAGGUAAUGAAAACCAAAGAGAGACUGAAAAACUCGCAGAUCAGAGAGACACAAGGACUAACUGCAAGGUCAUAUCUUGGACCCAAUUUUAGAACAGAUAAAGGACAUAAAUGUAAAAACUGGCAAAAAAAAAAAUUUUAAGUAAGUCUGGAGUGUAUUAAUAGAAAUAUGCCAAUUUUGAUUUUUUAAUUUAGAGACUGUACCACAGUAAUGUAAGACAAUAACAAUAGGAGAAACAACCUGGAUAGGGCAGCCCACUGUUAGAAAUCUCUAUAGUUAAGCUGUAAACUGAUGCGGGGUCCUAUGAGGCCCUGCAUAGCAGGUGAAAAGUUCAGCUACCUGUGCUAUCUUUCCAACUAUUCCAAAAUUUAAAGGUUAUUUUAAAUACAUAUAAAAGAGGGACAACUCCUCCAAUAACCCUGAGCUCUUGCAGGAUAAAUAGCAAAGUCCUCACAGUGGCCUUCAACCCUGUUUAAAGUUGCAGCCUUCAUGGCCCAAACCAUCCCUCUUCUCCACUUCAUUUCUCACCUAACACAUACAUAAGUUAUUUAUUUACUUGUGUAUUAUCUGUCUUCUGGCCCCACUCCACUCCAUACCACAAAGUAAUCUCUAGACAGCAUGAAAUCUUGUCUCUUCUCAUCUCUACAAAGAACAGGAUCUAAGAUAAAGUAGGGCUCAGUGUCUCGAGCCAUCCAUGGGCUGUGUGUGUGAGCUAUGUGCAUUUGAGCAUAUGAGAGGACUAGCCUGCCUUUGCUUGCUCUUUUGGCUGAGCAACACGUGUGCUCUUUCCUCUAGCUCUGCCUGUAUUCCCACACAGCACCUGAAAUGGGUGUGGCUUUCCAAGAUGUCAGUCAAUAUGCUGACCACAAAACAUCACCAAGCAAGACUCAACCCCCCCGAAUUAUUUGGGUGGAACUUCCUCAAAUGUCUUUCCCCUAAAUUAAAACAGGGGUUCAGAGUUUGCUUGCUCUCUUGCUCCUUCCAGUGCUGGAGCUGACCCUUAGGGUCACAGAGCCAAAUUGAGCCGAGCUGUCCUGCCUUAGAAACUUAUGUUUGUGUGCUGCGCAGUUUCUUUACCAUUUCCUUAAUUAUUGAUACAGACAGCCCCUGGGAACCCAGUUUAUAUCGCCAGCCCGGCCAGCUGGUGAUAGCUCGGCAAAUAUUGUUGAAAGAAAAAAAAAUGAAUUAAUGGACCAAUCAACCUUUUCUUCCUGAAAUCCUUAUAACUUGUAAAUCUGAAAAUCACUUUUGACUGUGGUAAGUUCUAAACUAAAAUGACCAAGUGGAGAGAGCAAAUGAAUGACUGAUUAACACAGGGCUAACUUUUUUUCCAGAUUCAUCAGCAGAUAUAUAUAUAUAUAUAUAUAACUCUGUGAAAUUGUCUGGAAGUUAUACAUCCCAGCUUUGUCUGCAAUGACAAAGUAUAGGAAUAAUGCUACUGUUGAUCAGUAGGAAUGAGUUAAAUCAAUCCUGGCAUAUCAAUCCAAAGGAAAAUUAUUAAGCCAUUAAAAAAAGAAGGAAAUUGGAAUGUUUUUUAAAUUUUUAAAUUUUUAACUGUAUAAAUAGCUUACUUAUUUUAAUUAACUAGUUAAUUAAAAUAAAAACUAGUUAAUUAAAUUCAUUAACCUUUAAAAAAUGGAUCUUGGGCUGAGGUUGUGGCUCAGUGGAAGAGAGCUCGCCUAGCACACGUGAGGCACUGGGUUCGAUCCUCAGCACCACAUAAAAAUCAGUAAAUAAAAUAAAAAUAUCUACAACUAAAAAAAAAUUUUUUUAAAUGGAUCUUCUACACAUUAUGCAGUGGUUCCUUUAACAGCUACUUAAAAAUGAAAUGAAACUGAAACCCUGAAAAAGUAUUUUAAUUUUUUCUUUUUUUCUUUUUUGCAAUAAUGGGAAUUGAUUCCAGGGUCUCAUGCAUGCCAGGAAAGCACUCUACCUCUGAGCUAUGUUACCAACUUUUUUUGUUUUAUUUUGAGACAGGGUCUCACUAAAUGUCCCAGGUUGUCCUUGAACUCGUGAUCCUUUCUCGGCCUCAGCCUCCUGAGUCGCUGGUAUUACAAGUGUGGGUCACCUGACCUGAUUUAAUUUUUCUUUUUCAUUUCUUAUUUGAGAUUAUGACUGCA